AUCCAGUUGACGAGUCCAAAAUAGGACGAAGGGCGCGUCAAACUGGAU
This is a non-coding RNA of Schistosoma curassoni, 48 nucleotides long. NCBI's taxonomy places the organism in Eukaryota, Metazoa, Platyhelminthes, Trematoda, Strigeidida, Schistosomatidae. The record is from Rfam.